UGGGGAAUAUUGCACAAUGGGCGCAAGCCUGAUGCAGCCAUGCCGCGUGUAUGAAGAAGGCCUUCGGGUUGUAAAGUACUUUCAGCGGGGAUGAAGGGAGUAAAGUUAAUACCUUUGCUCAUUGACGUUACCCGCAGAAGAAGCACCGGCUAACUCCGUGCCAUCAGCCGCGGUAAUACGGAGGGUGCAAGCGUUAAUCGGAAUUACUGGGCGUAAAGCGCACGCAGGCGGUCUGUCAAGUCGGAUGUGAAAUCCCCGGGCUCAACCUGGGAACUGCAUUCGAAACUGGCAGGCUAGAGUCUUGUAGAGGGGGGUAGAAUUCCAGGUGUAGCGGUGAAAUGCGUAGAGAUGUGGAGGAAUACCGGUGGCGAAGGCGGCCCCCUGGACAAAGACUGACGCUCAGGUGCGAAAGCGUGGGGAGCAAACAGG
This 429-nucleotide ribosomal RNA is filed under the name Chloroflexota bacterium. RNAcentral describes it as "Chloroflexi bacterium partial 16S ribosomal RNA". It matches the Rfam family "Bacterial small subunit ribosomal RNA", at positions 355 to 776 of the family's 1533-position model. The record is from RNAcentral. Lineage: Bacteria; Bacillati; Chloroflexota.